RNAcentral lists this ribosomal RNA (2108 nucleotides) under Salmonella enterica subsp. diarizonae. Its description in RNAcentral is "partial 23S ribosomal RNA". It matches the Rfam family "Bacterial large subunit ribosomal RNA", at positions 711 to 2799 of the family's 2925-position model. Lineage: Bacteria; Pseudomonadati; Pseudomonadota; Gammaproteobacteria; Enterobacterales; Enterobacteriaceae. The record is from RNAcentral.
AGACCCGAAACCCGGUGAUCUAGCCAUGGGCAGGUUGAAGGUUGGGUAACACUAACUGGAGGACCGAACCGACUAAUGUUGAAAAAUUAGCGGAUGACCUGUGGCUGGGGGUGAAAGGCCAAUCAAACCGGGAGAUAGCUGGUUCUCCCCGAAAGCUAUUUAGGUAGCGCCUCGUGAACUCAUCUCCGGGGGUAGAGCACUGUUUCGGCUAGGGGGCCAUCCCGGCUUACCAACCCGAUGCAAACUGCGAAUACCGGAGAAUGUUAUCACGGGAGACACACGGCGGGUGCUAACGUCCGUCGUGAAGAGGGAAACAACCCAGACCGCCAGCUAAGGUCCCAAAGUCAUGGUUAAGUGGGAAACGAUGUGGGAAGGCCCAGACAGCCAGGAUGUUGGCUUAGAAGCAGCCAUCAUUUAAAGAAAGCGUAAUAGCUCACUGGUCGAGUCGGCCUGCGCGGAAGAUGUAACGGGGCUAAACCAUGCACCGAAGCUGCGGCAGCGACACUUUAGUGUUGUUGGGUAGGGGAGCGUUCUGUAAGCCGUUGAAGGUGUGUCGUGAGGCAUGCUGGAGGUAUCAGAAGUGCGAAUGCUGACAUAAGUAACGAUAAAGCGGGUGAAAAGCCCGCUCGCCGGAAGACCAAGGGUUCCUGUCCAACGUUAAUCGGGGCAGGGUGAGUCGACCCCUAAGGCGAGGCCGAAAGGCGUAGUCGAUGGGAAACGGGUUAAUAUUCCCGUACUUGGUGUUACUGCGAAGGGGGGACGGAGAAGGCUAUGUUGGCCGGGCGACGGUAGUCCCGGUUUAAGCGUGUAGGUGUGUGUUCCAGGCAAAUCCGGUUCACUUUAACACUGAGGCGUGAUGACGAGGCACCACGGUGCUGAAGCAACAAAUGCCCUGCUUCCAGGAAAAGCCUCUAAGCAUCAGGUAACAUCAAAUCGUACCCCAAACCGACACAGGUGGUCAGGUAGAGAAUACCAAGGCGCUUGAGAGAACUCGGGUGAAGGAACUAGGCAAAAUGGUGCCGUAACUUCGGGAGAAGGCACGCUGACACGUAGGUGAAGUGAUUUACUCAUGGAGCUGAAGUCAGUCGAAGAUACCAGCUGGCUGCAACUGUUUAUUAAAAACACAGCACUGUGCAAACACGAAAGUGGACGUAUACGGUGUGACGCCUGCCCGGUGCCGGAAGGUUAAUUGAUGGGGUCAGCGCAAGCGAAGCUCCUGAUCGAAGCCCCGGUAAACGGCGGCCGUAACUAUAACGGUCCUAAGGUAGCGAAAUUCCUUGUCGGGUAAGUUCCGACCUGCACGAAUGGCGUAAUGAUGGCCAGGCUGUCUCCACCCGAGACUCAGUGAAAUUGAACUCGCUGUGAAGAUGCAGUGUACCCGCGGCAAGACGGAAAGACCCCGUGAACCUUUACUAUAGCUUGACACUGAACAUUGAGCCUUGAUGUGUAGGAUAGGUGGGAGGCUUUGAAGCGUGGACGCCAGUCUGCGUGGAGCCGACCUUGAAAUACCACCCUUUAAUGUUUGAUGUUCUAACGUGGACCCGUAAUCCGGGUUGCGGACAGUGUCUGGUGGGUAGUUUGACUGGGGCGGUCUCCUCCUAAAGAGUAACGGAGGAGCACGAAGGUUGGCUAAUCCUGGUCGGACAUCAGGAGGUUAGUGCAAUGGCAUAAGCCAGCUUGACUGCGAGCGUGACGGCGCGAGCAGGUGCGAAAGCAGGUCAUAGUGAUCCGGUGGUUCUGAAUGGAAGGGCCAUCGCUCAACGGAUAAAAGGUACUCCGGGGAUAACAGGCUGAUACCGCCCAAGAGUUCAUAUCGACGGCGGUGUUUGGCACCUCGAUGUCGGCUCAUCACAUCCUGGGGCUGAAGUAGGUCCCAAGGGUAUGGCUGUUCGCCAUUUAAAGUGGUACGCGAGCUGGGUUUAGAACGUCGUGAGACAGUUCGGUCCCUAUCUGCCGUGGGCGCUGGAAGACUGAGGGGGGCUGCUCCUAGUACGAGAGGACCGGAGUGGACGCAUCACUGGUGUUCGGGUUGUCAUGCCAAUGGCACUGCCCGGUAGCUAAAUGCGGAAAAGAUAAGUGCUGAAAGCAUCUAAGCACGAAACUUGCCC